RNAcentral lists this ribosomal RNA (1365 nucleotides) under Triticum aestivum (bread wheat). Its description in RNAcentral is "partial small subunit ribosomal RNA". The record is from RNAcentral. Lineage: Eukaryota; Viridiplantae; Streptophyta; Magnoliopsida; Poales; Poaceae.
AUGGUGAUGGCCAGCGCCGGCGUCAACAACAUGCCCGAGGGCGCCAUCGACUCCGAGGAAUGCCGCCUAGUGCGAAGACGCAGCCGCCUCAACGCGCGCCGCUACGCCCACCACGCCUCCUCCGCCCCCGGCCCCGGCCCCGCCGAGGAAGGAGGGGAAGAGGCAGAGCCCUCCUCGGAGGAGGAGGAGGGCUCUGCAUCUGACGCGGUUGUUGCGGCGGCUCCCCAGCAGCUGCCCUCCAAGGAGAAGGAGAAGGAGAUGGAGAAGGAGAAGGCCAAGUCGUGGUGGAGAUGGCCCGUGUCGUUCGGGUCGGUGGCGCUGGCGGGGCGGCUGCGGGAGAUGGAGGACACGGUGUCGCUGCACCCCAGCUUCUGCGCCUGGGCCGACGGCUCCCCCAUGCACCUCUUCGCCGUCUUCGACGGCCACGGCGGCCCCCACGCCGCGGCGCUGUGCAGGGAGCAGAUGCACGUCAUCCUCGCGGAGGAGCUGGCCGGCGCGGCGGCCGACUUGCACCAGACAGCGGCGGCGUCGUCGUCGUCGUCUUCUUCUUCUUCUUCUUCUUCUUAUUCUUAUUGGGAGAAGAAGGAGAAGGAGCAGCAACAGCACGACCAAGACUCGUCGGAGCAACAACAGCACGACCAAGACUCGUCGGAGCAACUUGCGUGGCGUGGCGCUCUGUCCAGGAGCUUCGCCCGGGCGGACGCGCUGGCGGUGUCGGCGUGCGCGUGCGGGCGCGGGAGUACAUGUGUGCCCAAGUCGUGCUCGUGCCUGCUGUCGUCGGCGCAGAAGGGCGCCAUCGUGGGGUCGACUGCCGUGGUGGCGCUGCUGGUCCGCGACCGCCUCAUCGUGGCCAACUGCGGCGACUCCCGCGCCGUGCUCUCACGAGGUGGCGUCGCCGUGCCGCUCUCCCAGGACCACAAGCCGGACCGGCCGGACGAGAUGGCGCGGAUCAAGGCGGCCGGAGGCAAGGUCAUGUACAUGAACGGGGCGCGCGUCCGCGGCAUCCUCGCCAUGUCCCGAGCGCUAGGGCACAGGCUCCUGAAGCCAGAAGUGAUAUGCGAGCCAGAGAUCAGCAUAACCGAAAGGUGCGAGGAGGACGACUGCCUGAUCCUCGCCAGCGACGGGCUGUGGGACGUGAUCUCCAACAAGGUGGCCUGCGACGUGGCCAGGCAAUGCCUGGAAGACGGGAGCCCCACCAGAGCUCCUGCAGCUGCGGCUGGGAGCAGCGGCAGCGCGCCGGCGGUUUCCCAGGAGGAAGAGCCCCGGUGCUUCCGUGCAGCGGCCCUCCUCGCGAGGCUGGCCCUCGGGAGGGAGAGCUCCGAUAACAUUAGCGUGGUGGUGGUUGAUCUGAAGGCGAGGGGUUGA